Molecule: ribosomal RNA, 460 nt
Filed under: uncultured bacterium
Lineage: Bacteria
Description: partial 16S ribosomal RNA
Rfam family: Bacterial small subunit ribosomal RNA
Source: RNAcentral
CCUACGGGUGGCAGCAGUGAGGAAUAUUGGUCAAUGGGCUUACGCCUGAACCAGCCAAGUCGCGUGAGGGAAGACUGCCCUAUGGGUUGUAAACCUCUUUUGUCAGGGAGCAACGCCGGCUACGUGUAGCCGGACUGAGAGUACCUGAAGAAAAAGCAUCGGCUAACUCCGUGCCAGCAGCGGCGGUAAUACGGAGGAUGCGAGCGUUAUCCGGAUUUGUUGGGGUUAAAGGGUGCGUAGGCGGAAUGCCAAGUCAGCGGUAAAAUCGCGGGGCUCAACCUCGCUCCGCCGUUGAAACUGGCGUUCUUGAGUGGGCGAGAAGUAUGCGGAAUGCGUGGUGUAGCGGUGAAAUGCAUAGAUAUCACGCAGAACUCCGAUUGCGAAGGCAGCAUACCGGCGCCCAACUGACGCUGAAGCACGAAAGCGUGGGUAGCGAACAGGAUUAGAUACCCGGGUAGUC